CCAGACUCCUACGGGAGGCAGCAGUGGGGAAUAUUGCGCAAUGGGGGGAACCCUGACGCAGCAACGCCGCGUGCAGGAAGAAGGUCUUCGGAUUGUAAACUGUUGUCGCAGGGGAAGAAGACAGUGACGGUACCCUGUGAGAAAGUCACGGCUAACUACGUGCCAGCAGCCGCGGUAAUACGUAGGUGACAAGCGUUGUCCGGAUUUACUGGGUGUAAAGGGCGCGUAGGCGGAUGUGCAAGUCAGUCGUGAAAUACCGGGGCUCAACCCCGGGGCUGCGAUUGAAACUGCACACCUUGAGUAUCGGAGAGGAAAGCGGAAUUCCUAGUGUAGCGGUGAAAUGCGUAGAUAUUAGGAGGAACACCAGUGGCGAAGGCGGCUUUCUGGACGACAACUGACGCUGAGGCGCGAAAGUGUGGGGAGCAAACAGGAUUAGAUACCCCUGUA
Molecule: ribosomal RNA, 447 nt
Filed under: uncultured bacterium
Lineage: Bacteria
Description: bacterial SSU rRNA
Rfam family: Bacterial small subunit ribosomal RNA
Source: RNAcentral